Molecule: ribosomal RNA, 319 nt
Filed under: uncultured eukaryote
Lineage: Eukaryota
Description: partial 18S ribosomal RNA
Rfam family: Eukaryotic small subunit ribosomal RNA
Source: RNAcentral
CCCUUAGAUGUUCUGGGCAGCACGCGCGCUACAAUGGUCUUCGCAAACGGAUGCAUUCUCGAAGGAGAAUGCCAAUCUUGGAAUCUAUGCCUUGGUCGGGACAGUUGCUUGCAAUUUUUCGACUCGAACCAGGAAUUCCUUGUAAUCGUGAUUCAUCACAUCACAAUGAAUACGUCCCUGCCCUUUGUACACACCGCCCGUCGCUCCUACCGAUCGAAGAGUUAGGUGAAUUGUUUUGAUCGAUAAGAUUUGACUAUGGUCAACUCUCGUUGUGAAAUUCUGUGAAUCUGACUGUUUAGAGGAAGGAAAAGUCGUAACA